GACGAACGCUGGCGGCGUGCUUAACACAUGCAAGUCGAACGGAAAGGCCCUGCUUUUGUGGUGUGCUCGAGUGGCGAACGGGUGAGUAACACGUGAGUAACCUGCCCUUGACUUUGGGAUAGCUUCAGGAAACUGGGGCUAAUACCGGAUAGGAGCUCCUGCUGCAUGGUGGGGGUUGGAAAGUUUCGGCGGUUGGGGAUGGACUCGCGGCUUAUCAGCUUGUUGGUGGGGUAGUGGCUUACCCAGGCUUUUACGGGUAGCCGGCCUGAGAGGGUGACCGGCUACAUAGGGACUGAGAGACGGCCCAGACUCCUAUGAGAGGCAGCAGGGGGGAAGAUGGCAGAAUGGGCGGAAGCCUGAUGCAGGAACGCCGCGUGCGGGAUGACGGCCUGCGGGUUGGAAACCGCUUUCGGCUGUGACGAAGCGUGAGUGACGGUAAUGGGUAAAGAAGCACCGGCUAACUACGUG
This 468-nucleotide ribosomal RNA is filed under the name uncultured bacterium. Its description in RNAcentral is "partial 16S ribosomal RNA". It matches the Rfam family "Bacterial small subunit ribosomal RNA", at positions 28 to 507 of the family's 1533-position model. The record is from RNAcentral.